This 693-nucleotide long non-coding RNA is filed under the name Nicotiana benthamiana. Its description in RNAcentral is "long non-coding RNA (NBEN_LNC014281)". Lineage: Eukaryota; Viridiplantae; Streptophyta; Magnoliopsida; Solanales; Solanaceae. The record is from RNAcentral.
CAAAAGGCCUAAAGAACAAGAUUUGUAUAUGAAGAUGCAUGUCCUAAAGCAUGAUUUCUAUUGCGCAAAUAGGUAAGUAAAAUCCUAUUACAUGUUUUCUACCAUUCCCCUUAACUAAGCAUCCAUAACCAUCCCAAUUUCACUAUAAAAACCAUUAUUCUUUACAAGUUAUUACAGACAAGGUAAUUAUAAGUACAACAGUGAUAAUAAAGAAGAAGUUAUUCUAUAGGGAGCCUAUAGCCAGCCCAAGAUCUCCAACCUCACUUCAUUCGAGUUUCACAGCCAUUACCAAGCUUGGGUGCGGCAAAGUUCCCUAAGGGUUCGUUUGAACCCCUGGCCAAUACAAGGAACCCAAAGUGACAUUAUUAGACAAGUGGAAGUGUCAGCCUUGUGCAUCAAAGUUCAUGGGUGCUCAAAGGCUCCCAAAGCAAUGCUUGCACUAAGGGGACAUAACUUAAUGUUCUAAGAGUAGUGAAGUUGUGAUAGGGUUGAGGGAGCCUAAAAACAAUUGAGAUUCAAUUUAAGCAUAGGGUUGAGAGAGCUUAAAAACAAUUGAGAGUCAAUUUAAGAAAACAUCAGAAGGAUUUGGGAGAUAGUUUGAGGAAAUAGUUAAAAAGAGUUAAAAGAGUUGAAAGAAAUUCUUUUGAAAUCAUUUAUACUAACCACUUUAGAACAGAGCAUUAUACAAACAGG